GACGAACCGUGCAAACGUUGUUCGGAAUCACUGGGCUUAAAGGGCGCGUAGGCGGUCGACCAAGUCCGGGGUGAAAUCUUCCGGCUUAACCGGAAAAGUGCCUUGGAUACUGGUCGGCUGGAGGGAGGUAGGGGCAGGUGGAACUUCCAGUGGAGCGGUGAAAUGCGUUGAUAUUGGAAGGAACGCCGGUGGCGAAAGCGACCUGCUGGACCUUUUCUGACGCUGAGGCGCGAAAGCUAGGGGAGCAAACGGG
RNAcentral lists this ribosomal RNA (253 nucleotides) under uncultured bacterium. RNAcentral describes it as "partial 16S ribosomal RNA". It matches the Rfam family "Bacterial small subunit ribosomal RNA", at positions 524 to 776 of the family's 1533-position model. The record is from RNAcentral.